RNAcentral lists this ribosomal RNA (413 nucleotides) under uncultured bacterium. RNAcentral describes it as "bacterial SSU rRNA". It matches the Rfam family "Bacterial small subunit ribosomal RNA", at positions 505 to 918 of the family's 1533-position model. The record is from RNAcentral.
GUGUCAGCAGCCGCGGUAAUACGGAGGGGGUUAGCGUUGUUCGGAAUUACUGGGCGUAAAGCGCGCGUAGGCGGAUUAGAAAGUUGGGGGUGAAAUCCCGGGGCUCAACCUCGGAACUGCCUCCAAAACUGCUAGUCUAGAGUUCGAGAGAGGUGAGUGGAAUUCCGAGUGUAGAGGUGAAAUUCGUAGAUAUUCGGAGGAACACCAGUGGCGAAGGCGGCUCACUGGCUCGAUACUGACGCUGAGGUGCGAAAGUGUGGGGAGCAAACAGGAUUAGAUACCCUGGUAGUCCACACCGUAAACGAUGAAUGCCAGUCGUCGGGUAGUAUACUAUUCGGUGACACACCUAACGGAUUAAGCAUUCCGCCUGGGGAGUACGGUCGCAAGAUUAAAACUCAAAGGAAUUGACGGGG